RNAcentral lists this ribosomal RNA (96 nucleotides) under Phellinus tuberculosus. Its description in RNAcentral is "partial 28S ribosomal RNA". It matches the Rfam family "Eukaryotic large subunit ribosomal RNA", at positions 1 to 99 of the family's 3401-position model. The record is from RNAcentral. Lineage: Eukaryota; Fungi; Basidiomycota; Agaricomycetes; Hymenochaetales; Hymenochaetaceae.
UGACCUCAAAUCAGGUAGGAUUACCCGCUGAACUUAAGCAUAUCAAUAAGCGGAGGAAAAGAAACUAACAAGGAUDCCCCUAGUARCGAGCGAAGU